GCUUGCAUCAUGAUUUACAUUUGAGUGAGUGGCGAACUGGUGAGUAACACGUGGGAAACCUGCCCAGAAGCGGGGGAUAACACCUGGAAACAGAUGCUAAUACCGCAUAACAACUUGGACCGCAUGGUCCGAGUUUGAAAGAUGGCUUCGGCUAUCACUUUUGGAUGGUCCCGCGGCGUAUUAGCUAGAUGGUGGGGUAACGGCUCACCAUGGCAAUGAUACGUAGCCGACCUGAGAGGGUAAUCGGCCACAUUGGGACUGAGACACGGCCCAAACUCCUACGGGAGGCAGCAGUAGGGAAUCUUCCACAAUGGACGAAAGUCUGAUGGAGCAACGCCGCGUGAGUGAAGAAGGGUUUCGGCUCGUAAAACUCUGUUGUUAAAGAAGAACAUAUCUGAGAGUAACUGUUCAGGUAUUGACGGUAUUUAACCAGAAAGCCACGGCUAACUACGUGCCAGCAGCCGCGGUAAUACGUAGGUGGCAAGCGUUGUCCGGAUUUAUUGGGCGUAAAGCGAGCGCAGGCGGUUUUUUAAGUCUGAUGUGAAAGCCUUCGGCUCAACCGAAGAAGUGCAUCGGAAACUGGGAAACUUGAGUGCAGAAGAGGACAGUGGAACUCCAUGUGUAGCGGUGAAAUGCGUAGAUAUAUGGAAGAACACCAGUGGCGAAGGCGGCUGUCUGGUCUGUAACUGACGCUGAGGCUCGAAAGUAUGGGUAGCAAACAGGAUUAGAUACCCUGGUAGUCCAUACCGUAAACGAUGAAUGCUAAGUGUUGGAGGGUUUCCGCCCUUCAGUGCUGCAGCUAACGCAUUAAGCAUUCCGCCUGGGGAGUACGGCCGCAAGGCUGAAACUCAAAGGAAUUGACGGGGGCCCGCACAAGCGGUGGAGCAUGUGGUUUAAUUCGAAGCUACGCGAAGAACCUUACCAGGUCUUGACAUACUAUGCAAAUCUAAGAGAUUAGACGUUCCCUUCGGGGACAUGGAUACAGGUGGUGCAUGGUUGUCGUCAGCUCGUGUCGUGAGAUGUUGGGUUAAGUCCCGCAACGAGCGCAACCCUUAUUAUCAGUUGCCAGCAUUAAGUUGGGCACUCUGGUGAGACUGCCGGUGACAAACCGGAGGAAGGUGGGGAUGACGUCAAAUCAUCAUGCCCCUUAUGACCUGGGCUACACACGUGCUACAAUGGAUGGUACAACGAGUUGCGAACUCGCGAGAGUAAGC
RNAcentral lists this ribosomal RNA (1214 nucleotides) under Lactiplantibacillus plantarum. Its description in RNAcentral is "bacterial SSU rRNA". It matches the Rfam family "Bacterial small subunit ribosomal RNA", at positions 66 to 1268 of the family's 1533-position model. The record is from RNAcentral. Lineage: Bacteria; Bacillati; Bacillota; Bacilli; Lactobacillales; Lactobacillaceae.